This 1843-nucleotide long non-coding RNA is filed under the name Amborella trichopoda. RNAcentral's name for it is "long non-coding RNA (ATRI_LNC004771)". The record is from RNAcentral. Lineage: Eukaryota; Viridiplantae; Streptophyta; Magnoliopsida; Amborellales; Amborellaceae.
UGCCCUUAGAAUAAAUCUCUCUCUUUUCUUUCUCUAUCUUUCUCUCUCUUUCUCUUUCUCUUUACCCUUUCAAAGAUCGGAGAAGCCUAUCGCCCCGAUUGUGUUUCACUCUUUCUUCCGCUCUUCUUCUCUCCUUCCCUUUCUGUGUUCCCUCGUGACGACCCUUCCCUUCUAUCUCAUAGUGGUCCCUUAGGUCCACCUAUCAUCUUGUGCUACUUGUACGUCCAUCUCCUCCCUUGUGUACUCUCGGGUCCACCUCUCCCUUUCUCUGAUAGUCCCUCAGUCCACUUCCCUUUCCCUUCUUUUUCUGUGCACCUUCACGUCAACCCUUUGUGCACCCUCACUCCCUUUCCUCCCUCUCACCCCGUCAUCCCAACCACCAUUCCCCAAAACUUUUCUUCUCACUAGCGCCUGUAAAUUUCUGCUCACUGCCGCCUGUGGAAUUCUUCUCAUGGCCGUCUGUGAAAACAUACCCCCCCCAUCGCCGCGCGUGAACUCCCUAACGACGUGCGUCAAACAUCCUUCCUGCCUGCCGCUCGUGCAACCACAACUCUAUCGCCGUGUGUAACCACCUCAUCGCCGUGAGUGAACUCCACCAUCGCCGUGUGCCUCAGCUCUUCCUCCCGGCCAGCAACCUCUUCCUCUCUUUCCACCUCAGCUGCUCCCACCUCUUCCUCUCUUUCCACCUCAGCUGCUCCCACCUCUUCCUCUCUUAACUGUUGCAGCCACCUCUCACCUUCACUCGUCCCCUUUCUUCUUCUCCUCUGCAUCAGAACUAGGCAGCAGCCCCAACUGCCGCACUCUCCACCUGCUCUCGAGCCACCACUGUGCCCUCUCUCUCUAAAACUAAAAGAAAAGAAAAAACCCAACAGGCCUCCCCCUCUUGCUCUGUCACCCCUGCCCACCCUGUUUCUCUCCUCUUUUCAUCAUCUCGUUGCAGCCCAUUCUGCUGGAACCCAUCGUUGCCGCUGCCAACCUCUUUCCAUCUGAGCUGCUUCACCUUUAGCAAUUGUCAUCAGCAGCCCAACGCCUUCUUCCCUCCUCUUCCUCCACUGCUGCUCCACCACUAGUAACUCUUCUACCUUCUUCUCAGCCACCUGCAGCCCGUCGCUGCUCUCUCUCCACCCCAUCCUGCUGUCCUCUUGUCUUCUCAACAGCUGCAACCAGCCACCACUCUCGAACUUCCUGUUACUUCCACUCACCAACCACAUCACUAUCACCUUCCCAUUCAAUUGCUCCCCCAUCUUCCUUCUCUUCACCUCUGCCAAUCUUGUUCCCCUCUCUUCACCUGUAACCUCCACCUUCUCAAUUCUCUUCCACCGCCAUUUCAGCCACACUCCCCUGCUCAGCCACUCUGCUGCUCUCCCCCUUUGGCUCCCUGCGACCAGGCGGCAACCUCUGCUGCCGCUUCAUCCCUCCGUCAGCCACUGUCUCUACCCUUCUCCCACUUCUUUCCUUUGCCACGCUCCUCCUCGCGCGGUGUUCUUCUUCUCUUCCGCCCACUUACAAUCACUCGCGCACCCUCUCUCUCUGUUCCUCAGUCGUCUCCUCGUAUUUUCUGCCACCCCUCCCAGUCAUCUUUGCCGCGCAAACCUCUGCCUCUCUCAACCGCAACCCUCUGUCAUCAUUGUCCCCAUCUCCGACUAGUCACUACCCUCUCUUCCUCACCUUCCGCAAUUUUCCCAUCCAUUCGUUGCCUGCUUCCUACUUCCUCCAUUGUCUCGUGCUUUCCACCCUCUGCCAUCUUCCACUUUCUCUCACUAGAAACCCACAAAACAAAACACCUACCUCCUCUCUUUCUAAUUUCGUUUCGUUUUGCUUUUUGUCAAAGUUUCGUUCCCCC